This 253-nucleotide ribosomal RNA is filed under the name uncultured bacterium. Its description in RNAcentral is "partial 16S ribosomal RNA". It matches the Rfam family "Bacterial small subunit ribosomal RNA", at positions 524 to 776 of the family's 1533-position model. The record is from RNAcentral.
UACGGGGGGGGCAAGCGUUGUUCGGAAUUACUGGGCGUAAAGGGCUCGUAGGCGGCCAACUAAGUCAGACGUGAAAUCCCCAGGCUCAACCUGGGAACUGCGUCUGAUACUGGAUGGCUUGAAUCCGGGAGAGGGAUGCAGAAUUCCAGGUGUAGCGGUGAAAUGCGUAGAUAUCUGGAGGAAUACCGGUGGCGAAGGCGGCAUCCCGGACCGGCAUUGACGCUGAGGAGCGAAAGCCAGGGGAGCAAACGGG